RNAcentral lists this ribosomal RNA (600 nucleotides) under uncultured ciliate. Its description in RNAcentral is "bacterial SSU rRNA". It matches the Rfam family "Eukaryotic small subunit ribosomal RNA", at positions 496 to 1113 of the family's 1831-position model. Lineage: Eukaryota; Ciliophora. The record is from RNAcentral.
CCAUGUCUCGUAAUUGGAAUGAGUAAACUUUAAAUCACUUUACGAGUAUCAAUUGGAGGGCAAGUCUGGUGCCAGCAGCCGCGGUAAUUCCAGCUCCAAUAGCGUAUAUUAAAGUUGUUGCAGUUAAAAAGCUCGUAGUUGGAUUUCUGGCAGAGUGACUCCGGCCGCAGCAUUGCGGGUUGGGAGCGCUCUACCAUCCUUCGGUUAACCUUUACGGAAUUCACUUUCUGUGCUGGGGCUCCGAUAUUUUACCUUGAGAAAAUUAGAGUGUUUCAGGCAGGCUUAGCCGGAAUACAUUAGCAUGGAAUAAUGGAAUAGGACUAUGGUCUCGUUGUUGGUUUGGGGGAUCGCAGUAAUGAUUAGUAGGGAUAGUUGGGGGCAUUAGUAUUUAUUAGCUAGAGGUGGAAUUCUCUAAUUUAAUAAAGACUAACUUAUGCGAAAGCAUUUGCCAAGGAUGUUUUCAUUAAUCAAGAACGAAAGUUAGGGGAUCAAAGACGAUCAGAUACCGUCCUAGUCUUAACCAUAAACUAUGCCGACUCGGGAUCGGGAGCGCGUGUUAUCCGCUUUCGGCACCGUAUGAGAAAUCAAAGUCUUUGGGUU